Molecule: ribosomal RNA, 493 nt
Filed under: uncultured bacterium
Lineage: Bacteria
Description: partial 16S ribosomal RNA
Rfam family: Bacterial small subunit ribosomal RNA
Source: RNAcentral
AUUGAACGCUGGCGGCAUGCUUUACACAUGCAAGUCGAACGGUAACAGGUUAAGCUGACGAGUGGCGAACGGGCGAGUAAUGCAUCGGAACGUGCCCGAUCGCGGGGGAUAACGCAGCGAAAGCUGCGCUAAUACCGCAUACGAUCUGAGGAUGAAAGCGGGGGACCGUAAGGCCUCGCGCGAUCGGAGCGGCCGAUGUCAGAUUAGGUAGUUGGUGGGGUAAAGGCCCACCAAGCCGACGAUCUGUAGCUGGUCUGAGAGGACGACCAGCCACACUGGGACUGAGACACGGCCCAGACUCCUACGGGAGGCAGCAGUGGGGAAUUUUGGACAAUGGGCGAAAGCCUGAUCCAGCAAUGCCGCGUGCAGGAAGAAGGCCUUCGGGUUGUAAACUGCUUUUGUACGGAGCGAAAAGGUCCUUUCUAAUACAAGGGGCUCAUGACGGUACCGUAAGAAUAAGCACCGGCUAACUACGUGCCAGCAGCCGCGGUAA